UACGAGGGGUGCAAGCGUUGCUCGGAAUUAUUGGGCGUAAAGGGUAGGUAGGUGGUCUCGUUUGUCUGGGGUGAAAGCCUUGGGCUUAACUCAAGAAGUGCCCCAGAAACGGCGAGACUAGAGUAUUGGAGAGGGUCGUGGAAUUCCAGGUGUAGCGGUGAAAUGCGUAGAGAUGUGGAGGAACACCGAUGGCGAAGGCAGCCCCCUGGGCUAACACUGACGCUCAUGCACGAAAGCGUGGGGAGCAAACAGG
Molecule: ribosomal RNA, 253 nt
Filed under: uncultured bacterium
Lineage: Bacteria
Description: partial 16S ribosomal RNA
Rfam family: Bacterial small subunit ribosomal RNA
Source: RNAcentral